Molecule: ribosomal RNA, 1997 nt
Filed under: Candidatus Woesearchaeota archaeon
Lineage: Archaea; Nanobdellati; Candidatus Woesearchaeota
Description: partial 23S ribosomal RNA
Rfam family: Archaeal large subunit ribosomal RNA
Source: RNAcentral
AAAGGAAAAGAGUGACGCUGUCAGGUGGAUGACUCGGCUCAGCUGCCGAUGAAGGACGCGACAAGCAGCGAAAUGCUCCGGCGAAUCGCAUGUAGAUGUUGAACCGGAGAUCUCCGAAUAGGACUUCCUCAGAGAAUCCGCAAGGAUGGGGAACGCAGGGAAGUGAAGCGUCUCAGUACCUGCAGGAAAAGAAAUCAAUUGAGAUGCGGUGAGUAAGAGCGACUGAAAUCCGCACAUGGCAAACCGAAUCUUUGCUGGCAACAGUAAAGGGAUGUGGUGUUGGCCUUCGUUUCUUCCGUUUCGGGAAUCUGAAGUUGCCUGGAAAGGCAUGCCAGAGAGGGUGAUAGCCCCGUAGGAACAACUGGAGCGGAAGAUGGAGAGUCCAUGAGUAUCGGGUAUUGGAUAUUACUCGAGAAUACGGGAGGAAUCAACUUCCAACCAUAAAUACACGCUGAGUCCGAUAGCGAACAAGUACCGUGAGGGAAAGUUGAAAAGAACCCAUAACAGGGAGUAAAAAGACCCUGAAACCUGACAGCCAUAGAGGGAUACGGCAUUACGGUGUCGUAUCGUCCGUUUUGAAUAACGUGCCAGGGAGUUUAUCUGUAUGGCGAGACGGAGCCUUUCUCAAGGCAGAGUCGAAGCGAAAGCGAAUUGCCGCAGGCAACAAGGGCAAUGGUAUGAAAGUGCCAUAGUCAUAUGGAUAUGACCCGAAACCGGGCGACCUAACCCUAAGCAAGGUGAAGCGGGAGUAAAAUCCCGUGGAGGCCUGCAGAGGUGCUACGAACAAGUGCUCUUAUGACUUGGGGUUAGGAGUGAAAUGCCAAUCGAGCCCGGUGAUAGCUGGUUCCUACCGAAGUUGGCCGUAGUCAAGCCUUGACCGAGGUAGGUAAGAGGGUAAAGAUACGGAUUAGGGAUUUAGGCUGGGAAACCGGUCGGUUCCUUGUCCAACUCAAAAUCUCUUACCACCAUAGAAGUCAGGAGACGGGAAGUCCGGGGUAAGCUUGGCUUCCGAGAGGGGAACAACCCAGACUGUAGUUAAGGUCCCUAAUUGUUGAUUAAGUGUGAAAGGGUGAAGAGUGUCCAGGUCCAAAAACAACUAGGAGGUUGGCUUAGAAGCAGCCACCCUUUAAAAAGUGCGUAACAGCUUACUAGUCUAGGUUCUGGGUCUCGAAAAUGGACGGGGCUAAAUCAACAACCGAUACUGCAGGGCUCAGUAAUGAGUUUGGUAGGUAGGUAUCCUGUGAGGGCAGAAGCACGCUUGAGAAGGUGUGUGGACCUCGCAGGAAAACGAAUCCUGGUGGUAGUAGGACCUGAGCGGUGUGAGAAUCACCGUAACCGAAAGGGCAAGGGUUCCUUGGCAAUGCAAAUCAGCCAAGGGUAAGUUAGUCCUAACCGCGAUCGUAAUGGUGUAGCGGGAAAGGGAGACAGGUUAAUAUUCCUGUACCAUCUUUGUAUGUGCGGCAACGCAAGCUCAUGUUUCAGACAUUUCUGGCUAGGCCAACACAUGCUUUGCUUGUGUUAAAGGGAACAGGUCAGGGGAGAAUCAUUAUGAUGAGAACCUGAUCAAGCCCUGAUGAGCACCCUGUAUGGGGUGUUUGGCUCAUGCCCGGAAUCCCUGAAAAUGGAACAGAGAAAGAUCAAAGAUGACUAUACCAAGAACCGGCACAGGUGCCCCAAGGUGAGUAGCCUAAGGUUUGUAGGUUUAAUCUAGUUAAGGGAAUUCGGCAAAAUAGCCCCGUGGCUUAGGUACAAGGGGUCCCUGCGCUCGUGACGCAAGUUGCGAGUACAGGGUGCAAUUACAAGGGGGGUCCGACUGUUUAACAAAAACGCAGCUUUCCGCAAAUCCGUAAGGACAAGUAUGGGAGGCGACAUCUGCCCAGUGCCAGUACUUUAAACUCCUUUUCAAGGGAGCUAAGAGCUGGUAAACGGCGGGGGUAACUAUAACUCUCUUAAGGUAGCGAAAUGCCUUGCCGUUUGAUUGACGGCCUGCAUGAAUG